RNAcentral lists this long non-coding RNA (311 nucleotides) under Physcomitrium patens. RNAcentral describes it as "long non-coding RNA (PPAT_LNC008365)". The record is from RNAcentral. Lineage: Eukaryota; Viridiplantae; Streptophyta; Bryopsida; Funariales; Funariaceae.
UGUUGCCGUGAUAUAAGGUUGUCCUAAAAUCAACGGAUAAGACGUAUCUUGAACGAAGAAAUGUUGCUCCGUCGCAACAUCUCCAAUCCGAAUUUUGACAUCUGGACAAGCUCCAUAUAAUUCGCCUCGUGUAUUAUUAGCUGCUCGUAUUGCCCAUCCAUGUUCCAUAUCAAUUGGCCAUUUUUGCUUCUUAUAAAGAUCUUUAGACAUGAGAUUUAUUUCAGAACCAUGGUCCACCAAGGCAACUAUUGGUUCUUCUAUAUCUCCUACCUUCACCAAUACCUCAGUAGUUGCCCUUGCCCAAUGCUUUC